ACGCUCGACACCUACGGGAAGCAGCAGUGGGGAAUAUUGCACAAUGGGGGAAACCCUGAUGCAGCGACGCCGCGUGAGCGAAGAAGUAUUUCGGUAUGUAAAGCUCUAUCAGCAGGGAAGAAACUGACGGUACCUGACUAAGAAGCACCGGCUAAAUGCGUGCCAGUANCGCGGUAAGUACUGAGCGGGCGUGGCGAAGGACG
This 203-nucleotide ribosomal RNA is filed under the name uncultured bacterium. Its description in RNAcentral is "partial 16S ribosomal RNA". It matches the Rfam family "Bacterial small subunit ribosomal RNA", at positions 326 to 544 of the family's 1533-position model. The record is from RNAcentral.